RNAcentral lists this ribosomal RNA (493 nucleotides) under uncultured bacterium. RNAcentral's name for it is "bacterial SSU rRNA". It matches the Rfam family "Bacterial small subunit ribosomal RNA", at positions 903 to 1397 of the family's 1533-position model. The record is from RNAcentral.
AAAUGAAUAGACGGGGGCCCGCACAAGCAGUGGAGUAUGUGGUUUAAUUCGAAGCAACGCGAAGAACCUUACCAGGGCUUGACAUCCCAAUGACCGCUCUAGAGAUAGAGCUUCUCUUCGGAGCAUUGGUGACAGGUGGUGCAUGGUUGUCGUCAGCUCGUGUCGUGAGAUGUUGGGUUAAGUCCCGCAACGAGCGCAACCCCUAUUGUUAGUUGCCAGCAUUCAGUUGGGCACUCUAACGAGACUGCCGGUGAUAAAUCGGAGGAAGGUGGGGACGACGUCAAAUCAUCAUGCCCCUUAUGUCCUGGGCUACACACGUACUACAAUGGCUGUUAACAGAGGGACGCUAUACUGUGAAGUAACGCAAAUCCCAAAAAGCAGUCUCAGUUCAGAUUGCAGGCUGAAACUCGCCUGCAUGAAGUCGGAAUUGCUAGUAAUCGCGAAUCAGAAUGUCGCGGUGAAUACGUUCCCGGGCCUUGUACACACCGCCCGU